GAUGAACGCUGGCGGCGUGCCUAAUACAUGCAAGUCGAGCGAACAGACGAGGAGCUUGCUCCUCUGACGUUAGCGGCGGACGGGUGAGUAACACGUGGAUAACCUACCUAUAAGACUGGGAUAACUUCGGGAAACCGGAGCUAAUACCGGAUAAUAUAUUGAACCGCAUGGUUCAAUAGUGAAAGACGGUUUUGCUGUCACUUAUAGAUGAAUCCGCGCCGCAUUAGCUAGUUGGUAAGGUAACGGCUUACCAAGGCAACGAUGCGUAGCCGACCUGAGAGGGUGAUCCGCCACACUGGAACUGAGACACGGUCCAGACUCCUACGGGAGGCAGCAGUAGGGAAUCUUCCGCAAUGGGCGAAAGCCUGACGGAGCAACGCCGCGUGAGUGAUGAAGGUCUUCGGAUCGUAAAACUCUGUUAUUAGGGAAGAACAAAUGUGUAAGUAACUAUGCACGUCUUGACGGUACCUAAUCAGAAAGCCACGGCUAACUACGUG
Molecule: ribosomal RNA, 497 nt
Filed under: uncultured bacterium
Lineage: Bacteria
Description: partial 16S ribosomal RNA
Rfam family: Bacterial small subunit ribosomal RNA
Source: RNAcentral